Amblyraja radiata (thorny skate) is the source of this 91-nucleotide long non-coding RNA. RefSeq lists it as uncharacterized. Lineage: Eukaryota; Metazoa; Chordata; Chondrichthyes; Rajiformes; Rajidae. The record is from RefSeq and is a predicted model, not a curated record. The transcript has 3 exons.
UGUUAUCCCACUUUCCUCAACCACUCCCUACACAUUAGGGGCAAUUUUACAGACAAGUUAACCCACAAAUCCAAUGCCCAGAAUCAAGUGU